UUGACAUUUUACGAAUAACAACAGACUGCUACCAAAUCCAGUGGGCGCCCAUUUACUCUGUCUUUAAUCCCCAACAAAUUCUCGCAAUUCUCUCCGUAGACUUUUAAACCCAUGCGAAAUUUUGCGUUGAUUUCAAUUCAAUUUCUCCACAAUUUUUUUUUUGAUUUCUUCUUCUUCCCGGCCAAACACUUCAUUCCCUUGCAAAGAAACUACCAUACACACUCCCUCUCUCUCUCUCUCGAUGAAAUCUUGUAAAUUCAUCGUCCUUUUCUUUUGUUUCCUCGUAAUUUUCCCUCGUUUUUCCUUUUCUGCCGUUCAAAUCCCCAGAUGGGUCGGUGAAAACAGAAUAUUGAAAAAAGGUGUAUUUUCUAAUGCGUUUGAUCCCACUGGAGUAACUCAACUAUCUUGGCAUCCCAGGGCUUUCAUUUACGAGGGAUUUUUAUCAAAUGACGAGUGUGAUCAUCUAAUAAAUUUGGCUAGGGAUAAGCUUGAGAAAUC
RNAcentral lists this unclassified non-coding RNA (498 nucleotides) under Hevea brasiliensis (rubber tree). The record is from RNAcentral. Lineage: Eukaryota; Viridiplantae; Streptophyta; Magnoliopsida; Malpighiales; Euphorbiaceae.